AAUAUGGGCAGGUUAAAUUGAUUAAAUUAUUUGUAUUAUUUCAAGGUAAAAAUAAAUUCAACUAGGUUUAUUUUUUAAUUCGGUUCAAUUUGGACUGAGUUUUCUUUAAAAAAUUGGUUUUAUAAUUUGGUUUGGACUGUAAAUUAUGAAACCGAAAAAACUCGAAUAAAAACGAAAAAAAUAAAAUAAAAUAAAAAUUACCCCUUACAAGAUUUUAUCUAUACCCAAAUAAUAAACUCAAAGUCUCAAACAUUCACCAAAAGCCCUAAAUAGCUCUCAGCCCCCAACCCCCCUCAUUUCAUAUUCUAAUCUCUAACCCUAACCCUAACCCUAACCCUAACAGUCUCUCUCUGCUCUCUCGGCCUCACGUUCUCAUUCUACUCUUACUGUUAACUGAAUUAAUGCUAUCACUCUCUCAAUCCGGUACAGAUGAAGAACUAUGAGCCGUUGGUGUUGGGGGCCAGAAUUGUCCACGGAAAGGAUUCAGGACCAGUGUGCUUCCUUACGAAGUUCUCAUCGGCGAACUUCCGAUGAGAACUUCUUACCGUAGAUUGACUCGCCGCCAGUGUCAUUUCCAUGCGGUGAAAUCACCUCCUUGGCUCAUGAAUCCGGGAUCACACGGUGGAAGGCGGAGCCCUUGGAGUGGGGUGACUUUCCCCUGCGGCCGUUGCCCUUCUAUCCGGUGCCGAGUGCGGGGAAUUUCUCGGCGGUUUUGGGAACAACACCGGCGUACAACUCCAUGACGAUUCUUCCGGCAGGUUGGUCGCCAACAGCCAUGUCAAAGAAGACCUUUGGGUUCGCCGCUUCACGGAUCCACCUCGCCUCAAUCUCUUGGUAGUCUCCUUCAGCCCUUCUCCUAUUAUCCUUCCCGGCUUCAUCAAAGUGAUUUAUUAGAUCGAGCUAUCAAGGAUUCGAGAUUUCGAGCUGCUGCUUGUUGAGUUGCUGACGUGCUGCUGGAUGCUUGCUUAGUUGCUGGACGUGCUGCUUGCUGAGUUGCUGCUGGCUGCUGCUGUUAAUUGAAUUACAGAGAUUCAGAAUUUUAGACCUGUUGUUAUUCCUGCAAUGUUGUUAUUCGACUUUGAUAAAUAAAUUUAAGACUUUAAUCUUUGGUGUAUUAAUUUGUAAGAAUUAAUUCAAAGUUGGAUUAAUUUGUUUUUGAAGACUUGAAGUCUAAUUUUAAUUACAGUUCUUAGUUUAAUGGUUAA
Long non-coding RNA from Spinacia oleracea (spinach), 1205 nucleotides. RefSeq lists it as uncharacterized. The record is from RefSeq and is a predicted model, not a curated record. Lineage: Eukaryota; Viridiplantae; Streptophyta; Magnoliopsida; Caryophyllales; Amaranthaceae. The transcript is spliced from 2 exons.